This 824-nucleotide non-coding RNA is filed under the name Tauritermes triceromegas. The record is from RNAcentral. Lineage: Eukaryota; Metazoa; Arthropoda; Insecta; Blattodea; Kalotermitidae.
UUUCAGUUUUAUUCUUGCUGUUCUGUUCAGUUUUUUCUUGUUUUAUAUGUAAGUUUUUGCGUGAUUGGAUCUUGUCCUCUUGAUGGGUUGGGAUUAAAAAACAAAUGGUAUUUAAUUUUGUUGUUAAUUCGCAUUAUUUAAUUUUAUAAAUCUUGGCUUCUUGGAUUUGGCAAUGAUUUUUGGUACCGGUUGAGUUUGUGCCAGCAGCCGCGGUUAUACAUUAGGUGCUAUUGAAUAUUUUCGGUUAUGCAGUUUUAUUAUUUUUUUGUGGUGGGUCGUGAAAUUGAUUUGCUUGAUGGGUAAAAUCUUUAUUUUUGGUUAAUGCCUUCUUUGCUUGUAAGCUGUUAAAUCUUUACUGUAAACUAGGAUUAGAUACCCUAUUAUUUUUGAUGUUAAUUUGGUUGGCCUGGGUAUUAUUAGUUAAGUUCUUGAAACCCAAAGAAUUUGGCGGUACUCUUUUACCUUUCAGAGGAAUCUGCCCCGUUGUCGAUAAUCCGCGUUGGACCUUACUUAAUUUUUUUUGUUUGUAUACCGCCGUUUUAUUGAGGAUCAUUUUUAGUGUUUUAAUUUUCUAAUUUCAUUAUUAUGAUUUAUUUCAGGUCAAGGUGCAGCUUGUUUUUGAGUGUGAGGUGGAUUACAUUGUGUUGUUGAAUUUUUUGGAUUGUUGAAUGUAAUUUUGGUAUGAAAGUGGAUUUGAUUGUAAUCUGUUGAAGAUUGUUUAGAUGAUGUUGGUUCUAGAGUAUGUACACAUCGCCCGUCGCUCUCAUUUUUGUUGAGAUAAGUCGUAACAUAGUGGUUGUACCGGAAGGUGUGGCUGGAUUGAA